Molecule: ribosomal RNA, 500 nt
Filed under: uncultured bacterium
Lineage: Bacteria
Description: partial 16S ribosomal RNA
Rfam family: Bacterial small subunit ribosomal RNA
Source: RNAcentral
AUUGAACGCUGGCGGAAUGCUUUACACAUGCAAGUCGAACGGCAGCACGGACUUCGGUCUGGUGGCGAGUGGCGAACAGGUGAGUAAUGUAUCGGAACGUGCCCAGUCGUGGGGGAUAACGUAGUGAAAAUUACGCUAAUACCGCAUACGAUCUAUGGAUGAGGGCGGGGGAUCGCAAGACCUCGCGCGAUUGGAGCGGCCGAUAUCAGAUUAGGUAGUUGGUGGGGUAAAGGCCCACCAAGCCAACGAUCUGUAGCUGGUCUGAGAGGACGACCAGCCACACUGGAACUGAGACACGGUCCAGACUCCUACGGGAGUCAGCAGUGGGGAAUUUUGGACAAUGGGCGAAAGCCUGAUCCAGCCAUUCCGCGUGCAGGAUGAAGGCCCUCGGGUUGUAAACUGCUUUUGUACAGAACGAAAAGGUUUCUACUAAUACUAGGAGCUCAUGACGGUACUGUGAGAAUAAGCACCGGCUAACUACGUGCCAGCCGCCGCCGUAA